RNAcentral lists this ribosomal RNA (291 nucleotides) under Thermoprotei archaeon. RNAcentral describes it as "partial 23S ribosomal RNA". It matches the Rfam family "Archaeal large subunit ribosomal RNA", at positions 2602 to 2891 of the family's 2987-position model. Lineage: Archaea; Thermoproteati; Thermoproteota; Thermoprotei. The record is from RNAcentral.
CGUCUCUUCCCAUCCUGGGGGUGCAGCAGCCCCCAAGGGUGGGGCUGCCCGCCCAUUAAAGGGGAACGUGAGAUGGGUUUAGACCGUCGUGAGACAGGUCGGACUCUACCUGCCGGGGGUGUUGGCCGCCUGAGGGGAAGGUGUCCCCAGUACGAGAGGAACGGGACGCCGCGGCCUCUAGUCUACCGGUUGUCCGGCAGGGCAAUGCCGGGCAGCCACGCCGUACGGGGAUAAGGGCUGAAGGCAUCUAAGCCCGAAGCCCUCCCCGAGACGAGGCGGCCAUUCCCCGAC